CCUACGGGGGGCAGCAGUGGGGAAUAUUGGACAAUGGGGGCAACCCUGAUCCAGCCAUGCCGCGUGUGUGAAGAAGGCCCUCGGGUUGUAAAGCACAUUCAGUGAGGAAGAACGCCUGGUGGUUAAUACCCAUCAGGAAAGACAUCACUCACAGAAGAAGCACCGGCUAACUCCGUGCCAGCAGCCGCGGUAAUACGGAGGGUGCGAGCGUUAAUCGGAAUUACUGGGCGUAAAGCGCGCGUAGGUGGCUUGAUAAGCCGGUUGUGAAAGCCCCGGGCUCAACCUGGGAACGGCAUCCGGAACUGUCAAGCUAGAGUGCAGGAGAGGAAGGUAGAAUUCCCGGUGUAGCGGUGAAAUGCGUAGAGAUCGGGAGGAAUACCAGUGGCGAAGGCGGCCUUCUGGACUGACACUGACACUGAGGUGCGAAAGCGUGGGUAGCAAACAGGAUUAGAUACCCUAGUAGUC
Molecule: ribosomal RNA, 465 nt
Filed under: Vreelandella stevensii
Lineage: Bacteria; Pseudomonadati; Pseudomonadota; Gammaproteobacteria; Oceanospirillales; Halomonadaceae
Description: partial 16S ribosomal RNA
Rfam family: Bacterial small subunit ribosomal RNA
Source: RNAcentral